Molecule: ribosomal RNA, 449 nt
Filed under: uncultured bacterium
Lineage: Bacteria
Description: bacterial SSU rRNA
Rfam family: Bacterial small subunit ribosomal RNA
Source: RNAcentral
UGGGGAAUCUUGCGCAAUGCGCGAAAGCGUGACGCAGCAACGCCGCGUGGGGGAAGAAGGCUUUCGGGUUGUAAACCCCUUUCAGUUGGGACGAAGCUUCGUCGGUUAAUAGCCGGCUGGAGUGACGGUACCUUCACAAGAAGCACCGGCUAACUACGUGCCAGCAGCCGCGGUAAUACGUAGGGUGCAAGCGUUGUCCGGAAUUAUUGGGCGUAAAGAGCGUGUAGGCGGUCAGAUAAGUCUGCUGUGAAAGUCCAGGGCUCAACCCUGGAAUGCCGGUGGAUACUGUCGGACUAGAGUCCGGAAGGGGCGAGUGGAAUUCCUGGUGUAGCGGUGAAAUGCGCAGAUAUCAGGAGGAACACCAAUGGCGAAGGCAGCUCGCUGGGACGUGACUGACGCUGAGACGCGAAAGCGUGGGGAGCAAACAGGAUUAGAUACCCGCGUAGUCC